RNAcentral lists this ribosomal RNA (459 nucleotides) under uncultured bacterium. Its description in RNAcentral is "partial 16S ribosomal RNA". It matches the Rfam family "Bacterial small subunit ribosomal RNA", at positions 339 to 795 of the family's 1533-position model. The record is from RNAcentral.
CUACGGGAGGCAGCAGUAAGGAAUAUUGCGCAAUGGAGGCAACUCUGACGCAGCCAUGCCGCGUGCAGGAAGAAGGCCUUAUGGGUCGUAAACUGCUUUUAUUUAGGAAUAAACCCCCGAACGUGUUUGGGGCUGAAGGUACUAAACGAAUAAGCACCGGCUAACUGCGUGCCAGCAGCCGCGGUAAUACGGAGGGUGCAAGCGUUAUCCGGAUUUAUUGGGUUUAAAGGGUGCGCAGGCGGGCUAUUAAGUCAGUGGUGAAAUCCCGGGGCUCAACUCCGGAACUGCCAUUGAUACUGAUAGUCUUGAGUUUGGUUGAAGUGGGCGGAAUGUAGCAUGUAGCGGUGAAAUGCAUAGAUAUGCUACAGAACACCAAUCGCGAAGGCAGCUCACUAAGCCAAAACUGACGCUCAUGCACGAAAGCGUGGGGAUCAAACAGGAUUAGAUACCCUCGUAGUC